CAACCAUUAAACUGUCAUAACUGCCCAACCAUCCCCGGCUCAAUAUGCAGAGCUGUUCCUCAAUAAAUGGGCAUUUUCUCCCACGAUGAGCCUUGAUAGUUCUUUCACCUUCCUUUUUCUACUAGCACCCCUCUACAAUAAGUAUUGAAGAGGAAGGAGAGGGGAUGGAGAAUGGAGAGAGCUGAUCAGAUCUUGGAAGGAUGAUUUUAGUUUUGAACAUAUUUAUAUUGAAGAACUAGAGGGACAACUAGGUGAAGACAGUUGACAGCUAAGCACAGAAAAACAGAUCUAGAAUUUACAUAAACAUAAAUAAUACUCAAAACCCUGAAGAUAGAAGUUGUUAGUCAUUUUCAGGAAAGACAUUUCAGUAUACUCUGGAGAGCAUCACCCCAUAAAGCUGAUGGGUGACUUAGUACGGAAAAAGUGUCAGCAACUAUAGAGACUUAGGAAGUUUAUGGUGAAAUGAAAUAGAAAUGUAAAUGGAGCUUUUGAUUAUAUUUUUUGAGUCAUAACCAAAUAAUGAAUUUAAAACAAUGUAUUACAGAUACAAGUAAAGGAAUAACAUUUAGCUUGUGAGGGAGACAAGCAUUCUGGAGUUCCAAUCUCAAAGCACACCCCAGACUUCCUGCCUGGAAAUCAGUGGGACUGUACACUAACUAACAUUAUAGGGCCAGCUCUGCAGCCCUAGCCUUCUGAAUCUGGAGCUUCAGAGUCAGGAUCCAAUAUAUUCUGAAAGCAGAAUUUGGGAGCAAAGGAAAACCUUCCUGCAUACCCACACAAGCCAAGGGCAUCACUGAAGAAAGAAAAGAGAACAAAAAGAAAAAGAGGAAUUUCUUCUUCUUACACAAACAAGAAACAUAUUCACCCCAUAGCACCAUCGUUCUUUCUGUAAAUGAUAAAUUUCAGUCAGCAUAACAGGAAAAAGAUGGAUCCAGCAUUCUCCUUCAGUUAUUCCCCCUUUUUCAAGCAAUCCUGACUCCAAUUUUGAACCCCUACUAUCCCUACCCUACUACCACUAAAUAAAAGAGGUAUGAAGUAAUGAAGUUCUGCUUUACACAGCAAAUUACUCAAAGAAGAGUAAUAUGAAUUUAAUGACCAAAUGUUUCUCUAGUUUCUGGAGGUGUUUCCCUCCUUCUUUCUCUCAUUCACCUCUCAUCUGCUAGUUGGCUCUUCCUAAUUUAUUUUGCACUGCUUUUCUGAGUCUGCCCGAGCCCUGACUUCUGGCUCCCACUAUUCAUAGUUACCUGUUCUUUCCUUUACUUUCUUGACCUAUGAUUUCUCACACAUCCUCUGCACUCCCUUUCUCCCACUAGGUACCUGACAUCUACAUGAGUUUGGGUCACCUCAAGGACAAGAGGAAAAACAUAAUCCAUUCCUGGCAGAAGAAAGAAUAAACAAAUUUGGGGGUUUGGAUCGACCGACACCCAGUUCUCCGCCCCUCCAACCCACCCCUCCAACAUUCCUGGGACUUUUCCAAGCUGCGCUGCUGAACUCCCAGGAGGAGGACUCCUAGAAACGCCAGUGAAUCCAAACGGCUUGGAGCUGUACCUUCCAGUGACCUGAGCCAGUCUGGACGUCCUUUAACCAUAAUGCUUAUUUAUCCAGGUCUAGCCCAGGGUGAAUCAGCCUUAGGACUCCAAGCGUUUUAUGCAAAUGAGCAUUCACUUGACGCGAGGGCUGCAACUUGUCCCCAAUCUCAUCCCCCCCUUGCCCCAGCGCCUCCCUCUACUCAACCUGUGCGAGCUGGAAGUUUUAUGAAGUUUCCAUCUUUUGUGCCCGUCUCCACUUGCUCCCCAAACCCCACAACAAGUAAGAACGACGAUCUUCCUGGAAUCCA
This is a non-coding RNA of Ictidomys tridecemlineatus (thirteen-lined ground squirrel), 1837 nucleotides long. The record is from RefSeq and is a predicted model, not a curated record. Lineage: Eukaryota; Metazoa; Chordata; Mammalia; Rodentia; Sciuridae.